UACGGAGGGUGCAAGCGUUAUCCGGAUUCACUGGGUUUAAAGGGUGCGUAGGUGGGCAAGUAAGUCAGUGGUGAAAUCUCCGGGCUUAACCCGGAAACUGCCAUUGAUACUAUUUGUCUUGAAUACUGUGGAGGUCAGCGGAAUAUGUCAUGUAGCGGUGAAAUGCUUAGAUAUGACAUAGAACACCAAUUGCGAAGGCAGCUGGCUACACAAAUAUUGACACUGAGGCACGAAAGCGUGGGGAUCAAA
This 249-nucleotide ribosomal RNA is filed under the name uncultured bacterium. RNAcentral describes it as "partial 16S ribosomal RNA". It matches the Rfam family "Bacterial small subunit ribosomal RNA", at positions 524 to 772 of the family's 1533-position model. The record is from RNAcentral.